GGUUCAAAACGUCGUGAGACAGUUUGGUCCCUAUCUGUCGCAAUCGCUGGAAAUUUGAGAGGAGCUGCCCCUAGUACGAGAGGACCGGGGUGGACAAUCCUAUGGUGUACCGGUUAGUCCGCCAGGGCUAUUGCCGGGUAGCUAAGAUUGGCAGGGAUAAACGCUGAAAGCAUCUAAGUGUGAAGCCUCCCUCAAGAUGAGAUUUCCCAUCAGCAAUGAUUAAGAUCCCAUGAAGAACACAUGGUUGAUAGGCUGGGUGUGUAAGCACGGUGACGUGUUAAGCUGACCAGUACUAAUAGAUCGAAGACUUAACUUU
RNAcentral lists this ribosomal RNA (316 nucleotides) under bacterium. RNAcentral's name for it is "partial 23S ribosomal RNA". It matches the Rfam family "Bacterial large subunit ribosomal RNA", at positions 2608 to 2925 of the family's 2925-position model. The record is from RNAcentral.